UACGGAAGGGGCAAGCGUUGUUCGGAAUCAUUGGGCGUAAAGGGCGCGUAGGUGGUUCUGUAUGUCUACCGUGAAAGCAUACAGCUCAACUGUAUUUUGUCGGUAGAAACUGCAGGACUUGAGGCUGGGAGGGGCUGGUGGAAUUCCCUGUGUAGCGGUGAAAUGCGUAGAGAUCGGGAAGAACAUCGGUGGCGAAAGCGCUCUACUGGACGGCAACUGACACUCAGGGACGAAAGCUAGGGGAGCGAAUGGG
RNAcentral lists this ribosomal RNA (253 nucleotides) under uncultured bacterium. RNAcentral describes it as "partial 16S ribosomal RNA". It matches the Rfam family "Bacterial small subunit ribosomal RNA", at positions 524 to 776 of the family's 1533-position model. The record is from RNAcentral.